AAAUUGAAGAGUUUGAUCAUGGCUCAGAUUGAACGCUGGCGGCAGGCCUAACACAUGCAAGUCGAGCGGUAGCACAGAGAGCUUGCUCUCGGGUGACGAGCGGCGGACGGGUGAGUAAUGUCUGGGAAACUGCCUGAUGGAGGGGGAUAACUACUGGAAACGGUAGCUAAUACCGCAUAAUGUCGCAAGACCAAAGUGGGGGACCUUCGGGCCUCAUGCCAUCAGAUGUGCCCAGAUGGGAUUAGCUAGUAGGUGGGGUAACGGCUCACCUAGGCGACGAUCCCUAGCUGGUCUGAGAGGAUGACCAGCCACACUGGAACUGAGACACGGUCCAGACUCCUACGGGAGGCAGCAGUGGGGAAUAUUGCACAAUGGGCGCAAGCCUGAUGCAGCCAUGCCGCGUGUGUGAAGAAGGCCUUCGGGUUGUAAAGCACUUUCAGCGGGGAGGAAGGCGUUAAGGUUAAUAACCUUGCGAUUGACGUUACCCGCAGAAGAAGCACCGGCUAACUCCGUGCCAGCAGCCGCGGUAAUACGGAGGGUGCAAGCGUUAAUCGGAAUUACUGGGCGUAAAGCGCACGCAGGCGGUCUGUCAAGUCGGAUGUGAAAUCCCCGGGCUCAACCUGGGAACUGCAUUCGAAACUGGCAGGCUAGAGUCUUGUAGAGGGGGUAGAAUUCCGGUGUAGCGGUGAAAUGCGUAGAGAUCUGGAGGAAUACCGGUGGCGAAGGCGGCCCCUGGACAAAGACUGACGCUCAGGUGCGAAAGCGUGGGGAGCAAACAGGAUUAGAUACCCUGGUAGUCCACGCCGUAAACGAUGUCGAUUUGGAGGUUGUGCCCUUGAGGCGUGGCUUCCGGAGCUAACGCGUUAAAUCGACCGCCUGGGGAGUACGGCCGCAAGGUUAAAACUCAAAUGAAUUGACGGGGGCCCGCACAAGCGGUGGAGCAUGUGGUUUAAUUCGAUGCAACGCGAAGAACCUUACCUGGUCUUGACAUCCACAGAACUUUCCAGAGAUGGAUUGGUGCCUUCGGGAACUGUGAGACAGGUGCUGCAUGGCUGUCGUCAGCUCGUGUUGUGAAAUGUUGGGUUAAGUCCCGCAACGAGCGCAACCCUUAUCCUUUGUUGCCAGCGGUUCGGCCGGGAACUCAAAGGAGACUGCCAGUGAUAAACUGGAGGAAGGUGGGGAUGACGUCAAGUCAUCAUGGCCCUUACGACCAGGGCUACACACGUGCUACAAUGGCAUAUACAAAGAGAAGCGACCUCGCGAGAGCAAGCGGACCUCAUAAAGUAUGUCGUAGUCCGGAUUGGAGUCUGCAACUCGACUCCAUGAAGUCGGAAUCGCUAGUAAUCGUGGAUCAGAAUGCUACGGUGAAUACGUUCCCGGGCCUUGUACACACCGCCCGUCACACCAUGGGAGUGGGUUGCAAAAGAAGUAGGUAGCUUAACCUUCGGGAGGGCGCUUACCACUUUGUGAUUCAUGACUGGGGUGAAGUCGUAACAAGGUAACCGUAGGGGAACCUGCGGUUGGAUCACCUCCUUA
Molecule: ribosomal RNA, 1536 nt
Filed under: Klebsiella pneumoniae
Lineage: Bacteria; Pseudomonadati; Pseudomonadota; Gammaproteobacteria; Enterobacterales; Enterobacteriaceae
Description: bacterial SSU rRNA
Rfam family: Bacterial small subunit ribosomal RNA
Source: RNAcentral